Molecule: long non-coding RNA, 435 nt
Organism: Vanessa tameamea
Lineage: Eukaryota; Metazoa; Arthropoda; Insecta; Lepidoptera; Nymphalidae
Exons: 3
Source: RefSeq, a predicted model, not a curated record
UCUACUAUCUACAAAGAUCUCCCACUAUUUUUUUAGGAAGGUUGCUUGUGAUGAUUUACAAAACCAAACGGACUUUUACGCAAAAACUUGCAAUGAGUGUCGAAACAUUUCCCUCUGUCCUUCUCUUCACUAUUAUGACUAUUGCCCGGAAGUACAGUUUAUUGCGAGAAUUGAUACCGAAAACAUAUUUUAUUAUGCAUUUUUUGUCUCAUUUUGUGCUCUCCUCUUUGUAAUACUUUGGAAAAGACAUGAAACGUACCUCAUGUGGAUAUGGGAAAUGAAUGAAAAAUGUAUAAACAAAUUACGUCGACCUGAAGUUCUACAUUACCCAAGAAUAUUUUACAUAAAAUUAAAUCUGUCUGCUUUAUCAAUGGGCUAUCAGAAUAUAUUAGUCAUUAUUAUAAGAGGAUUCAUAAUAUUAUUCACAAUGGCAAU